RNAcentral lists this unclassified non-coding RNA (193 nucleotides) under soil metagenome. Its description in RNAcentral is "partial contains 5.8S ribosomal RNA, internal transcribed spacer 2, and large subunit ribosomal RNA". The record is from RNAcentral.
AACGCACGAGACCUGCGGACCUGCGGAGGGAUCAUUACCGAGUUAUCCAACUCCCAACCCCUGUGAAUUAUACCUUUAAUUGUUGCUUCGGCGGGACUUCGCGCCCGCCGGGGACCCAAACCUUCUGAAUUUUUUAAUAAGUAUCUUCUGAGUGGUUAAGAAAAUGAAUCAAAACUUUCAACAAUGGAUCUCU